UGAGGAAUAUUGGUCAAUGGGCGGGAGCCUGAACCAGCCAAGCCGCGUGAGGGAAGAAGGCCCUAUGGGUCGUAAACCUCUUUUGUCAGGGAACAAAAGCGAGUAUGUAUACUGGUCUGAGUGUACCUGAAGAAAAAGCAUCGGCUAACUCCGUGCCAGCAGCCGCGGUAAUACGGAGGAUGCGAGCGUUAUCCGGAUUUAUUGGGUUUAAAGGGUGCGUAGGCGGCGGUGCAAGUCAGCGGUAAAAGCCCGGGGCUCAACCCCGGCGAGCCGUUGAAACUGCAGUGCUAGAGAAGGCGAGAGGUACGCGGAAUGCGCAGUGUAGCGGUGAAAUGCUUAGAUAUUGCGCAGAAACUCCGAUUGCGAAGGCAGCGUACUGGCGCCUGACUGACGCUGAGGCACGAAAGCGUGGGAUCGAACAGGAUUAGAUACC
This 433-nucleotide ribosomal RNA is filed under the name uncultured bacterium. RNAcentral's name for it is "bacterial SSU rRNA". It matches the Rfam family "Bacterial small subunit ribosomal RNA", at positions 355 to 786 of the family's 1533-position model. The record is from RNAcentral.